GCCAGAACAAGGUUCAGGGAGAGCUUACUCUUGUAACAACCUUCCCACAAGAACUACUGGGGUCCUGUGGGAACCACCUGAUCCCUUCUGAGGGCAACGCCAGUGUCCUAAGGAUAACCCAUUAGGCCCUGCCCCUUAAAGGUUCCAACACCUCAACAUCACUACCCUGGGGACCAAACUUGGAACACAUGAACCUGUGAGAGACAAGCCACAGCUAAACCUGUGCAGGCGCAACAGAUUCCAUAAAAAAAGAUUAAAUACAGACACAGUAUGAAGAAACAAUAAUACAGAGCCAUAUGUGAAGGUUAUAAUUUAGCUGUUUCCAAUCUGUUUCUGCAUCUAAUAAGAUACCAGGGUGGAGUGACCCACAAGCUCACAUGGUCCUAGGUGCUUAGCAACUUGUAUUUUCUAAUAAAAUGGAGAACUGCCUUGACUGUACAAAGCAAUCCACGGUGAAAGGACUUCCCUGAAUGCCUCAGUGGAAAGAAGAGGUGUUCGGAUUUUCAGGGGCCUUCUUGCUCCUGCCUCUGCAAGACAAGCGCAUCAGAAGGGCCCAGAAAACUCAGGACAAAGGUGUGAGAGAUAUGCCUGCGACCUCAUUCUUCUUACCUUUCCUUCAUUGAAGCGUGUGCCAGACAACCUUUAAUCAUAGUCUCAAGCUGAUAAACUGAAUUGAGAAACAAUUUAAAACGGAGAAGCCAACUCAAUCAAAACAAAGGGAGAAAAGAGCUUAAACCCUCAAAGUUUAUGUUUUCUAUCAAACCUAAGGAUACAUUAAUGGUUAAUCCCCAGAAUAUGCAACAGAAUCCUUUUUGAAGGAUUCAGGCAGCAGGUGGCUGAGUGUUUUAUUAGACUACACCUAUUCACAUAUUGUUCUCAAAACCCCUUUUCUUCAUUCAAUCACAAAGGGACCAUCUGCUUCUUCUUUUAUUUGUAUUUCUCUCUCAGUUAAAAAAUUUCAUCCAAAGCUUUUUAACAGUUGUCGGACUAAUACAGGGAAAGAGAUGCAAAACAACUUGCCGUUAGAAAACACAGAGAGGGAAAAGUGUAAGACAGAGCAAAUAUGUUUUAAUUGAAAAGUCUAUUAACUGGCAAACAAUAAUCAGACUUUGGGGAGAUUCUUUUAAUUCACUAGUAUGGUGAAGUGUUGACUUUUAAUCUUAGCAAAGCUAUUAAAAAUUCAAGGACAGAAUCUGUGAAGUAUAUAGCUAUAUCUGGUAAACAAAAAGCAUUAUAUGCGAAGAUUUAUUUUUAGCUUAUCUGGUGAAUUCAAGAGCAGCAUAAGCAAGCUUUGCUGGAAGUGACCAAAAAAAGCAACUUAAUUAAUCUUGUGGUUGGCUCUGCAGCAGAGUCCAUCCAUGGAUUUUAACCACUGAGAAAUCAAGAGUUGUUUUUUUAAAUGAACCAUUCUCUAUUUGCUUGCCCAAAGCUUUUGAAGGCAUGAUUUACUUAUCUUAAACUCAGCAGGGUGAUUAGAAUGCUGGUUUUUAAAGAUAUUUCCUUAGAGUUUUAUUCAUGUUUGUGUUUUCCUUGUGUAAGGACUCAAAGACCAAACCUACUGUCAAAUGUCCUCAGUUCUCAAUAUUGGCUAAGAAUUUAUUUUCCAGAUGACAAAGAUUUCAAACCAAUGUCCACAUCUACUCUCACCCAAAUAGUGGAGAAAGACAAACUUUGGAAUGACUGUAAGCAAAUCAUUGAAACAUAGAUAAUGCAGCCAGACUGGCUGACACAGAUGGACUAGAUUUCCAGUAUUAACAACUGGUUUGUGGGAAAUAAGGUUAUCUGAACAGACACCACUAGAUCUGAAAUUGUUCCUUUAACUGGCCAUUUGAGAGUCUAGUCCUUGCUAGGCAGAAUUCUUCUUUAUCCAGACCUUCCUAGAAUUCCAACAUGGAGUCUCAGGGGCUUUAGUGUCUUCAUUUCCUGUGGUCCUGCCAUAUUCUCCAGCAUUCUGGAUUUCCUGCCCUAGUGAUAAGUGUGCUGCUGGGCAAAGAGCAGGAGAAUAUACUGGGAGCCUGGUGUUCACUUCCUUUAUUAAGGCCCCAUGGUGAAGGCUGUUGAUUUUUGAGGACCUGAGAUCAGUGUUUGAAGUACUUAACUGGAUAUUUUCAGGGCCUAGCCCAUAGUAGUGGCUCAAUAAAUCAUGUUUUUCUGUAAAUAAAGUUUGGUACAGACUAUUUGAUAUUACUGUUAAAAAGGCACAUGGUAGAUCAAUGUGUAAAUGCCAGGGCUUUCCUAUAUUUUUAAUGCAAAGUUCUCCCUAUUGAAUUUUUGUACAGCCAACAAAAUGUAACUUAAAAGCAAACAGGUAUGAAAACAAAGAAUAAGUGAAAAUAUCUUGA
Heterocephalus glaber (naked mole-rat) is the source of this 2342-nucleotide long non-coding RNA. RefSeq lists it as uncharacterized. NCBI's taxonomy places the organism in Eukaryota, Metazoa, Chordata, Mammalia, Rodentia, Bathyergidae. The record is from RefSeq and is a predicted model, not a curated record.